UAACGAAUCUUCCGCAAUGCACGAAAGUGUGACGGAGCGACGCCGCGUGUAGGACGAAGCCCUUCGGGGUGUAAACUACUGUCAGGGGUUAGAAAGUUCUGAUCAACCCCAGAGGAAGGCACGGCUAACUCUGUGCCAGCAGCCGCGGUAAGACAGAGGUGCCAAGCGUUAGGCGGAAUCACUGGGCUUAAAGCGUGUGUAGGCGGAUUCCUAAGUACCUUGUGAAAUCCCACGGCUCAACCGUGGAACUGCUUGGUAUACUGGGUGUCUUGAGCCACUUAGGGGCGACCGGAACAAAUGGUGGAGCGGUGAAAUGCGUAGAUAUCAUUUGGAACGCCAAUGGUGAAAACAGGUCGCUGGGAGUGUGCUGACGCUGAGACACGAAAGCCAGGGGAGCGAACGGGAUUAGAUACCCCCGUAGUCC
This 424-nucleotide ribosomal RNA is filed under the name uncultured bacterium. Its description in RNAcentral is "bacterial SSU rRNA". It matches the Rfam family "Bacterial small subunit ribosomal RNA", at positions 355 to 796 of the family's 1533-position model. The record is from RNAcentral.